RNAcentral lists this unclassified non-coding RNA (338 nucleotides) under air metagenome. RNAcentral describes it as "partial contains small subunit ribosomal RNA, internal transcribed spacer 1, and 5.8S ribosomal RNA". The record is from RNAcentral.
AAGUCGUAACAAGGUUUCCGUAGGUAAGUGUCGACCCCUAGAGGGACUCCCAUGCUUGACCUUGUGACUCAAUACUAACAAUUUUUAUAGGUGAACCUGCGGAAGGAUCAUUAAAGAGUUAGGGUCCUCUGGGCCCGACCUCCCAACCCUUUGUUUACUGAACCUCUGUUGCUUCGGCGGACCCGUCUCACGGCCGCCGGAGGGUUGCCCCUAGGCGUCCUCUGGCCAGCGUCCGCCGAUAGCCACUCUCAAAACUCUUGAAUAAAAUCAUAUUAUUGUCUAAGUUAUGAUGCAAAUCAAUAAAGCAAAAACUUUCAACAACGGAUCUCUUGGUUCUG